AUAGCACAGAGGGCAUCUUUUCUCAUCAGCUGAACCUAGAACUCCGUGAGCCCUUCCAUGCCUACUCUGCAGGCGUCCCUCAACUCAGGGGAGAGUUCCGAUAUGUAAUGACUGCCCUUCCUCCAUCUGUGAUUUUCCGCGCUCCUGUAACUUGUUACUCUCAGAUCAGAUCUCCUGGGCCCGACCCCCAAGCCUCCUGCAUUCCGUCGGCGUCUGCCUCUUUCCCGCUCUGCUGUGUCUGCCUAGCUGUUUCUCACCCUUUUCCUUCCUCGGGUCAGGGUCUGCAUCAAGAGUGAGUCUUCAAUCGUCUGCCGGAUGUUUUCAUGAUGUGGGCCAAUUUUGAAGCUCCUGGACUUCGUUCGCGCCCUGGAAUUGGGAUCCUCUCACGUGCCCUGUGGGUUUUGAUCUCAGGGUCAGAGGCGGUGGCCCCUGAACCAUCCAACCGCAGGGCCGGAGGCCUUGUGUCACUCAGCCAGUGGCCGCAGCAGUAACGUGGCUCUGCAGAGGAGCUGGAGAGGAGACGGGGACUCUCCAGGCCCAGGUGCGCCCUGGGCACCCUCCCAAUCUUCCUCGUCACCACUGGGAGGAUGUGGCACUCUCUUCUCUUACAAUAUACACAUGGUUUCUAUUUGCAGACUUUUCUAAGUGACCGGUGACUGACAGUCUAUGCUAUUUACAGAUAUUUUAUGGAAAAAUAAACACAGUCUUCUCCUCAAGGUAAA
Long non-coding RNA from Pan troglodytes (chimpanzee), 722 nucleotides. RefSeq lists it as uncharacterized. NCBI's taxonomy places the organism in Eukaryota, Metazoa, Chordata, Mammalia, Primates, Hominidae. The transcript has 2 exons. The record is from RefSeq and is a predicted model, not a curated record.